RNAcentral lists this ribosomal RNA (2101 nucleotides) under Escherichia coli. RNAcentral describes it as "partial 23S ribosomal RNA". It matches the Rfam family "Bacterial large subunit ribosomal RNA", at positions 612 to 2698 of the family's 2925-position model. The record is from RNAcentral. Lineage: Bacteria; Pseudomonadati; Pseudomonadota; Gammaproteobacteria; Enterobacterales; Enterobacteriaceae.
AUAAUGGGUCAGCGACUUAUAUUCUGUAGCAAGGUUAACCGAAUAGGGGAGCCGAAGGGAAACCGAGUCUUAACUGGGCGUUAAGUUGCAGGGUAUAGACCCGAAACCCGGUGAUCUAGCCAUGGGCAGGUUGAAGGUUGGGUAACACUAACUGGAGGACCGAACCGACUAAUGUUGAAAAAUUAGCGGAUGACUUGUGGCUGGGGGUGAAAGGCCAAUCAAACCGGGAGAUAGCUGGUUCUCCCCGAAAGCUAUUUAGGUAGCGCCUCGUGAAUUCAUCUCCGGGGGUAGAGCACUGUUUCGGCAAGGGGGUCAUCCCGACUUACCAACCCGAUGCAAACUGCGAAUACCGGAGAAUGUUAUCACGGGAGACACACGGCGGGUGCUAACGUCCGUCGUGAAGAGGGAAACAACCCAGACCGCCAGCUAAGGUCCCAAAGUCAUGGUUAAGUGGGAAACGAUGUGGGAAGGCCCAGACAGCCAGGAUGUUGGCUUAGAAGCAGCCAUCAUUUAAAGAAAGCGUAAUAGCUCACUGGUCGAGUCGGCCUGCGCGGAAGAUGUAACGGGGCUAAACCAUGCACCGAAGCUGCGGCAGCGACGCUGAUGCGUUGUUGGGUAGGGGAGCGUUCUGUAAGCCUGUGAAGGUGUGCUGUGAGGCAUGCUGGAGGUAUCAGAAGUGCGAAUGCUGACAUAAGUAACGAUAAAGCGGGUGAAAAGCCCGCUCGCCGGAAGACCAAGGGUUCCUGUCCAACGUUAAUCGGGGCAGGGUGAGUCGACCCCUAAGGCGAGGCCGAAAGGCGUAGUCGAUGGGAAACAGGUUAAUAUUCCUGUACUUGGUGUUACUGCGAAGGGGGGACGGAGAAGGCUAUGUUGGCCGGGCGACGGUUGUCCCGGUUUAAGCGUGUAGGCUGGUUUUCCAGGCAAAUCCGGAAAACUAAGGCUGAGGCGUGAUGACGAGGCACUACGGUGCUGAAGCAACAAAUGCCCUGCUUCCAGGAAAAGCCUCUAAGCAUCAGGUAACAUCAAAUCGUACCCCAAACCGACACAGGUGGUCAGGUAGAGAAUACCAAGGCGCUUGAGAGAACUCGGGUGAAGGAACUAGGCAAAAUGGUGCCGUAACUUCGGGAGAAGGCACGCUGAUAUGUAGGUGAAGUCCCUCGCGGAUGGAGCUGAAAUCAGUCGAAGAUACCAGCUGGCUGCAACUGUUUAUUAAAAACACAGCACUGUGCAAACACGAAAGUGGACGUAUACGGUGUGACGCCUGCCCGGUGCCGGAAGGUUAAUUGAUGGGGUCAGCGCAAGCGAAGCUCUUGAUCGAAGCCCCGGUAAACGGCGGCCGUAACUAUAACGGUCCUAAGGUAGCGAAAUUCCUUGUCGGGUAAGUUCCGACCUGCACGAAUGGCGUAAUGAUGGCCAGGCUGUCUCCACCCGAGACUCAGUGAAAUUGAACUCGCUGUGAAGAUGCAGUGUACCCGCGGCAAGACGGAAAGACCCCGUGAACCUUUACUAUAGCUUGACACUGAACAUUGAGCCUUGAUGUGUAGGAUAGGUGGGAGGCUUUGAAGUGUGGACGCCAGUCUGCAUGGAGCCGACCUUGAAAUACCACCCUUUAAUGUUUGAUGUUCUAACGUUGACCCGUAAUCCGGGUUGCGGACAGUGUCUGGUGGGUAGUUUGACUGGGGCGGUCUCCUCCUAAAGAGUAACGGAGGAGCACGAAGGUUGGCUAAUCCUGGUCGGACAUCAGGAGGUUAGUGCAAUGGCAUAAGCCAGCUUGACUGCGAGCGUGACGGCGCGAGCAGGUGCGAAAGCAGGUCAUAGUGAUCCGGUGGUUCUGAAUGGAAGGGCCAUCGCUCAACGGAUAAAAGGUACUCCGGGGAUAACAGGCUGAUACCGCCCAAGAGUUCAUAUCGACGGCGGUGUUUGGCACCUCGAUGUCGGCUCAUCACAUCCUGGGGCUGAAGUAGGUCCCAAGGGUAUGGCUGUUCGCCAUUUAAAGUGGUACGCGAGCUGGGUUUAGAACGUCGUGAGACAGUUCGGUCCCUAUCUGCCGUGGGCGCUGGAGAACUGAGGGGGGCUGCUCCUAGUACGAGAGGACCGGAGU